Molecule: long non-coding RNA, 680 nt
Organism: Piliocolobus tephrosceles (Ugandan red Colobus)
Lineage: Eukaryota; Metazoa; Chordata; Mammalia; Primates; Cercopithecidae
Source: Ensembl
UAAAGCGUGAGCCUCGAUAAUGUCAGCAUAAGGCCUGCGUGGAUGGGGGGCAGUCACCAACUAAGUGUAAUUCAUAGGUGAUCAUAGAGCUCACGGAGUGUUUACCACAAGAAAAGGGUGACCAUGUUGCACAAAAGGUUCAUGAAGCACCAGCAUUUACAUUUUAAUAUACUGAUUUUCUUCACUUGCCUGGUGAUGAUAUUGGUGAGGCAAGGAAGAAGAACUAGAAAAAUUCCACAGGCAAUGGUAGAAAGAAAGAGCAAGGGGAAUAUACAGAUGAAAUCUAGCAGAAUGGAAUAAGUGAGGGAUAAGAAAUAAGUUUUAGUGGAGAGCGGUAGAUGUGAGAGUGCUGCUCCCAGACUGAUGUAUUUGGAUAUCAGCGUGGCUGAUCCAUUAGAGGUACAAAUUGAAUGUCAAGAGAAAGAGAAGUUUGGCUUGGCAGAAGGGCUGUUGUCAUAAUGGCAGUGGAUUCAAGUCUCAAUGUAUCAUGAUGAGUAAAAGAGGGCCAGCAAGAUGAAGUUGAGCUAGGAUCAUUUCUAACAUUUAGGUAUGGACUGGAGAACCUUACCCAGAGGCUGCAGAGCCUCUGUUGGGCAGUUCAUGGCACAGGGCUCAGGAGGUCUAACUGGUAGAUGAGGCAUGAAAGGCAAAACUUCCAGAAAACUGAAAGUCAAUGACAC